RNAcentral lists this ribosomal RNA (870 nucleotides) under Sarcopodium macalpinei. RNAcentral describes it as "eukaryotic LSU rRNA". It matches the Rfam family "Eukaryotic large subunit ribosomal RNA", at positions 44 to 948 of the family's 3401-position model. The record is from RNAcentral. Lineage: Eukaryota; Fungi; Ascomycota; Sordariomycetes; Hypocreales; Nectriaceae.
UCAUAAGCGGAGGAAAAGAACCAACAGGGAUUGCCCCAGUAACGGCGAGUGAAGCGGCAACAGCUCAAAUUUGAAAUCUGGCCCUCGGGUCCGAGUUGUAAUUUGUAGAGGAUGCUUUUGGCGCGGUGCCUUCCGAGUUCCCUGGAACGGGACGCCAUAGAGGGUGAGAGCCCCGUCUGGUUGGACACCAAGCCUCUGUAAAGCUCCUUCGACGAGUCGAGUAGUUUGGGAAUGCUGCUCUAAAUGGGAGGUAUAUGUCUUCUAAAGCUAAAUACCGGCCAGAGACCGAUAGCGCACAAGUAGAGUGAUCGAAAGAUGAAAAGCACUUUGAAAAGAGAGUUAAAUAGCACGUGAAAUUGUUGAAAGGGAAGCGUUUAUGACCAGACUUGGGCUUGGUUGAUCAUCCCGCGUUCUCGCGGGUGCACUCUUCCGGCUCAGGCCAGCAUCAGUUCGCUGCGGGGGAUAAAGGCGUCGGGAAUGUGGCUCCCUCGGGAGUGUUAUAGCCCUUCGUGUAAUACCCUGCGGUGGACUGAGGACCGCGCUUCGGCAAGGAUGCUGGCGUAAUGGUCAUCAACGACCCGUCUUGAAACACGGACCAAGGAGUCGUCUUCGUAUGCGAGUGUUCGGGUGUCAAACCCCUACGCGUAAUGAAAGUGAACGCAGGUGAGAGCUUCGGCGCAUCAUCGACCGAUCCUGAUGUUCUCGGAUGGAUUUGAGUAAGAGCAUACGGGGCCGGACCCGAAAGAAGGUGAACUAUGCCUGUAUAGGGUGAAGCCAGAGGAAACUCUGGUGGAGGCUCGCAGCGGUUCUGACGUGCAAAUCGAUCGUCAAAUAUGGGCAUGGGGGCGAAAGACUAAUCGAACUUCUAGA